RNAcentral lists this ribosomal RNA (408 nucleotides) under uncultured bacterium. RNAcentral describes it as "partial 16S ribosomal RNA". It matches the Rfam family "Bacterial small subunit ribosomal RNA", at positions 28 to 526 of the family's 1533-position model. The record is from RNAcentral.
GACGAACGCUGGCGGCGUGCUUAACACAUGCAAGUCGAACGACGUGGCGAACGGGUGAGUAACGCGUAAUCAACCUGCCAUUCAGCGGGGGACAACAGUUUGAAACGACUACUCAUACCGCAUACUGAAGAAGGGGCUUGCGUCUGAUUAGCUAGUUGGAUGGGUAACGGCCCACCAAGGCGAUGUUCAGUAGGCGGGCCGAGAGGGGGAACGGACAAAAUGGGACUGAGAAACGGGCCAGAACUCUACGGGAGGGAAGAGGGGGGAAUGUUCCGCAAUGGAAGAAAGUCUGACGGAGGAACGGCGGGUGAGUGAUGACGGCCUUCGGGUUGGAAAGCUACGGUAAUCGGGACGCGGUACCGGAAUAGAAAGCAACGGCUAACUCCGUGCCAGCAGCCGCGGUAAUUC